This 2956-nucleotide long non-coding RNA is filed under the name Homo sapiens (human). Its description in RNAcentral is "HSALNT0363806". Lineage: Eukaryota; Metazoa; Chordata; Mammalia; Primates; Hominidae. The record is from RNAcentral.
CAAGUGAUCUGCCCGCCUCGGCCUCCCAAAGUGUUGGGAUUAUAGGCAUGAGCUACCACACCUGGCUGCCCAUUUUCACAUAGAUGGAAGCAGAGCUCCCUCCCCGUGCUAAGCUGCAGCAUGCGCUCAAUGCCACUGCCACUCCCAGUCACGGGACACCAAGGAAUGUCCUUCUGGGCUCAGGGGGCCAACUGCUGAAGGGAGAAAGCACGAGGGGCAAAGUUCCCUGGCAGCGGGAGGGCUGUCCCCCACUCAGGGCACCAUGGCCCCAGCCCUGCUGGGGCAACCCAGAGAACCCUGAGGCAGGAGACAGGGAGAGUGGUGAGGCCUUCCCCUGCACAAGCAUCCAGAACUCCUGAGAGCUCUUCAGAGUAGGAAGGGAGGUGCCAGGUGACCUCGCCUGACCACAAAUGUGAGGAACCCGAGGCCUACAGAGGAAGAGUCCAGCCAGUCCACAAACACCCACUGGGCACCAGCCAGGUGCUGGGGACACUGGGAUGAAUGUGACCAGCUCUGAAGAGGCUCCUCAUCAGGUAAGCACCCACUUGGCUGGAGCUCAGACCCUCAAAAUCUGCCCCAGAAACUUCUCCAGCCCCGUCUGACCUCCUUUUCCUCCCUCUGCUCCCACAUCCACAGGCUCCUUACAGGGUCCUCAUGACACAGUGUCAUGUGCUGCCUCCUUUCACCUCUGCUCCAGCUGUUGGAAGAAUGCCCUUCCCAGCCACCUGGAGCCCAUCCACCCCCACUCCCCCAUCUCUUCUUCGCAGAGCCUCACUUAAGUGCCCCCCAACCCCAAGCUGAGACUGAUGGACCCCAGGAGGAAGCUCGCUCCCUUCUCCCCCUCCCCCCUCCUCCUCCUCCGGGCCUCCCCAUGCUCUUGACCUCCCUUGCAACAUCUGUGCACUCUGCCCAGGGUAAUGGGUCCUGGAAUUGCCUCACUCUCUGCCCCUCAGGACCUGGGACUAAGAAGGUACAGCUCCGCUGAAUUGAGUAAAUGUGUCACCCACCCAAAGCAACGACCCAGAGCAAUUAACAGAUCACUUCUUCCUUUUAAGGCAUGUAUUUAAGGCUUGUCUUUCUUUGAAAACCCUCGGAGGAAAGAGAUGCAGCACUGUGGGGGAAAAAUGAAAUGGAAGAGACUUAGAUUGUCUUGGCAUUUCCAAGUGCUGGCUCUGUUCCUGGCACACAGUAGAUGUCUGAGAUAUGUUCUUUUGGUGGAUGAAAGAAUAAAAAUAUCUCCACGGCCACUUGCCCCUGCUGCCUGAAGUUCCACCAUUAUCACUGAAUCUUUUCUGGGGCUAAAGAGUAUUCCCUGUGAUGCUCUCUCAAAAUGCAGUCCUGGGCCAGGAAACUAGCUCUGGCUGGGGGUUUCCUUGCACAAAACAGCAAGGUCAGGGUUUGCCCAUGAGAUCUUCUCACUGCAUUCUCAAGACGGUGUGUCCAGACCCUGCUCUUUGACCAAGGAGUUGCAUGUUCAAAUAAGCUUAGGAAAGGCUGGCUGCACACUCUGCCACCCAUUGGGGUCCCUAAUUCGUAUUAAUACAUUAAAGACCCUGAGAAGGCCUGUUUGGAUUUAUGUGACCUAGCGUUUCCCAAAUCUGUAUGCUCAUGCAUCCUUGAAUCCAUUCCCAUGCCACGGGACUAGGGCUCCUCAGGGGACAGUUUGGGGAGUGUGGACUAGAUAGUGCGCCUGGGUCCAGGCGGGACAAGGUCUGCAGGUUGAAGGGUGUCUGUGGCUGCCACCCAGCCAGGGCCAUGCUUCCCUGCACUGACCAUUUGACAGAGGCAAAAAGUCCAACCUCAGCCACCACCACCAAUAGCUCAUGACAGAGACAGAUAAUGAACAUGGCAUCAGACAGCCUCCAAACGUAGCGCAAAGGAGGGAGAAGGUAACAGAGUGGGCCAGAGACCUGAGUGAGUUCCAACUGUGACUUUGUGCUCACUGCUGGCCAUUGGGCGGGGGGACCCCAUCCUGCUAAGCUUUGUUUUCAUCAUCUGCAAAAUGGGGAUAAUGCUAUUCUCAGGGCUGUUGUGAAGAUUGAGGUAAUGCAAGCAGAGGCAGAUUACAAACUGUCAAGUCCUGUGCCAGCAUUUGCUGUGUGCAUCAUUAUUUUACUGCAUGCAUGGCCAGGAGGGUGUGGUAAUGUCUUGAUUGAUCACAAGCCACUGCAGAGGUCCUCAAUCAGGACAGAUGGAUGGAUGGAUACAUGGAUGCAUGGAAGAAUGCACAGACAGAAUCCCCAGUGUGACACAGGCUCACCAAUGGCUGACUGGUUGAAUAGGCUGUGGGACCUCAAGCCAGUCACCUCACCUGCCUGAGCCCGAGGUUUCUCACCUGCAAAAUGAGGGAUGAAAGCGGAUCUCAUGUGGGAAAGGAGCCACUCCAAGGAGAGACUCAAACAUGACUGCCCUUGAGCUGGGCACUGACAGGGCACAUCUGGACAGAGGAGGGGCUCAGUCUGCCUCUGCAGAGUCCCCAGCAAGAGGAAGAAGGCUCCAAUUGCAGCAGAGUGGACUUCAAUUAGUCUCAAGAAAGAACUUCCUGCAGAGGCAUUAAGCAUGAACAGCAUACAGAGAAGGGGGGCAUGAUGAGGGCAACUGUAGCAUCUCCUCUGAAAUACAGGAUGCUGUCUCAUUCAUUAUGUCAUUUUACUUUCAAACCAGCCUGGAAGACACGUUGGACAGUGAUACCUGGACUUGAGCAAGCCCUGAGAAUGACCUUGUAUGGCAGGCGCACCUCAAUGCAGUUUGGUUCUAAGCUAAGGAAUCUGGGAGUAGCCAACCCGGAGAUCCACUCCUUAUCUAUGAGGAACAUCUGAGCUCUUGGCCCAUCCUAUGGAACUUGCGGGCCAAACAGAGGAUUGAGGUCUGUGGUUUGGGGUAAAUGGAGGUUGCUAGGUGGAAGUUGUUGGGGGAGGUGCUAAGUGAAAAUGCUAUAGAAAUUGCAAGCUUUUAG